This 377-nucleotide unclassified non-coding RNA is filed under the name uncultured Pseudomonadota bacterium. RNAcentral's name for it is "uncultured proteobacterium contains 16S-23S intergenic spacer region". The record is from RNAcentral. Lineage: Bacteria; Pseudomonadati; Pseudomonadota.
UCCGGUUUAACACCGGCAGUCCCCUUAGAGUCCCCAACUUAAUGGUGGUAACUAAGAGCAAGGGUUGCGCUCGUUGCGGGACUUAACCCAACAUCUUACGACACGAGCUGACGACAGCCAUGCAGCAUCUGUCUUGAGGUCUCCGAAGAGAAGACUGUAUUUCUACAGCUGUCCUCAGAUGUCAAGCCUAGGUAAGGUUCUGCGCGUUGCUUCGAAUUAAACCACAUACUCCACCGCUUGUGCGGGCCCCCGUCAAUUCCUUUGAGUUUUAAUCUUGCGACCGUACUUCCCAGGCGGGAUACUUAAUGCGUUAGCUUCGGUACUUAAGGAAUAAAAACCUCAAACACCAAGUAUCCAUCGUUUAUGGCAUGGACUAC